This 200-nucleotide ribosomal RNA is filed under the name uncultured bacterium. Its description in RNAcentral is "partial 16S ribosomal RNA". It matches the Rfam family "Bacterial small subunit ribosomal RNA", at positions 524 to 723 of the family's 1533-position model. The record is from RNAcentral.
UACGAAGGGUGCAAGCGUUGUUCGGAUUUAUUGGGCGUAAAGCGCGCGCAGGCGGACGGCUAAGUCAGAUGUGAAAUCCCAGGGCUCAACCCUGGAACUGCGUCUGAAACUGGUCGUCUAGAAUCUCGGAGAGGAAAGGGGAAUUUCGCAUGUAGGGGUAAAAUCCGUAGAGAUGCGAAGGAACACCAGAGGCGAAGGCG